GACGAACGCUGGCGGCGUGCUUAACACAUGCAAGUCGAGCGGUAAGGCCCUUUCGGGGGUACGACGAGCGGCGAACGGGUGAGUAACACGUGGGUGACCUGCCCUCCAGCUCUGGGAUAAGCCUGGGAAACCGGGUCUAAUACUGGAUAUGACUCCAUGACGCAUGUUGUGGGGUGGAAAGCCUUGUGCGGCUGAGGAUGGGCCCGCGGCCUAUCAGCUUGUUGGUGGGGUGAGGCCUACCAAGGCGACGACGGGUAGCCGGCCUGAGAGGGCGACCGGCCACACUGGGACUGAGACACGGCCCAGACUCCUACGGGAGGCAGCAGUGGGGAAUCUUGCGCAAUGGGCGGAAGCCUGACGCAGCGACGCCGCGUGAGGGAUGACGGCCUCGG
RNAcentral lists this ribosomal RNA (392 nucleotides) under uncultured bacterium. RNAcentral's name for it is "bacterial SSU rRNA". It matches the Rfam family "Bacterial small subunit ribosomal RNA", at positions 28 to 420 of the family's 1533-position model. The record is from RNAcentral.